GACGAACGCUGGCGGCGUGCUUAACACAUGCAAGUCGAACGGAAAGGCCCUGCUUUUGUGGGGUGCUCGAGUGGCGAACGGGUGAGUAACACGUGAGUAACCUGCCCUUGACUUUGGGAUAACUUCAGGAAACUGGGGCUAAUACCGGAUAGGAGCUCCUGCUGCAUGGUGGGGGUUGGAAAGUUUCGGCGGUUGGGGAUGGACUCGCGGCUUAUCAGCUUGUUGGUGGGGUAGUGGCUUACCAAGGCUUUGACGGGUAGCCGGCCUGAGAGGGUGACAGGCCACAUUGGGACUGAGAUACGGCACAGACUCCUACGGGAGGCAGCAGUGGGGAAUAUUGCACAAUGGGCGGAAGCCUGAUGCAGCAACGCCGCGUGCGGGAUGACGGCCUUCGGGUUGUAAACCGAUUUCGCCUGUGACGAAGCGUGAGUGACGGUAAUGGGUAAAGAAGCACCGGCUAACUACGUG
This 468-nucleotide ribosomal RNA is filed under the name uncultured bacterium. Its description in RNAcentral is "partial 16S ribosomal RNA". It matches the Rfam family "Bacterial small subunit ribosomal RNA", at positions 28 to 507 of the family's 1533-position model. The record is from RNAcentral.